RNAcentral lists this ribosomal RNA (322 nucleotides) under uncultured bacterium. RNAcentral's name for it is "bacterial SSU rRNA". It matches the Rfam family "Bacterial small subunit ribosomal RNA", at positions 30 to 334 of the family's 1533-position model. The record is from RNAcentral.
AUUGAACGCUGGCGGCAGGCUUAACACAUGCAAGUCGAACGGUAACGGGGAGGGAGAUUACUUUCUCUGCUGACGAGUGGCGGACGGGUGAGUAAAGCUUGGGCAACCUACCUCUUUGACUGGGAUAACUACCGGAAACGGUAGCUAAUACCGGAUAAUUCCUUUGUUCACAUGGACGAAGGAUGAAAGGCGGAGCAAUCUGCUACAAGGAGAUGGGCCUGCGGCGCAUUAGCUAGUUGGUGGGGUAACGGCUCACCAAGGCGACGAUGCGUAGCCGACCUGAGAGGGUGAACGGCCACACUGGGACUGAGACACGGCCCAG